UCGACCUCGAAUCAAGUAAGAUUACCCGCUGAACUUAAGCAUAUCAAUAAGCGGAGGAA
Molecule: ribosomal RNA, 59 nt
Filed under: uncultured fungus
Lineage: Eukaryota; Fungi
Description: partial 28S ribosomal RNA
Rfam family: Eukaryotic large subunit ribosomal RNA
Source: RNAcentral